Molecule: ribosomal RNA, 45 nt
Filed under: Leucas chinensis
Lineage: Eukaryota; Viridiplantae; Streptophyta; Magnoliopsida; Lamiales; Lamiaceae
Description: partial 26S ribosomal RNA
Source: RNAcentral
CGCGACCCCAGGUCAGGCGGGAUCACCCGCUGAGUUUAAGCAUAU